This 1059-nucleotide ribosomal RNA is filed under the name human gut metagenome. Its description in RNAcentral is "bacterial SSU rRNA". It matches the Rfam family "Bacterial small subunit ribosomal RNA", at positions 8 to 1050 of the family's 1533-position model. The record is from RNAcentral.
AGAGUUUGAUCCUGGCUCAGAUUGAACGCUGGCGGAACGCUUUACACAUGCAAGUCGAACGGUAACGUGGGGAGGAGCUUGCUCCACCCCGACGACGAGUGGCGAACGGGUGAGUAAUACAUCGGAACGUGUCCGCUCGUGGGGGACAACCAGCCGAAAGGUUGGCUAAUACCGCAUGAGUUCUACGGAAGAAAGAGGGGGACCCGCAAGGGCCUCUCGCGAGCGGAGCGGCCGAUGACUGAUUAGCCUGUUGGUGAGGUAACGGCUCACCAAAGCAACGAUCAGUAGCUGGUCUGAGAGGACGACCAGCCACACUGGGACUGAGACACGGCCCAGACUCCUACGGGAGGCAGCAGUGGGGAAUUUUGGACAAUGGGCGCAAGCCUGAUCCAGCUAUUCCGCGUGUGGGAUGAAGGCCCUCGGGUUGUAAACCACUUUUGUAGAGAACGAAAAGACAUCUUCGAAUAAAGGAUGUUGCUGACGGUACUCUAAGAAUAAGCACCGGCUAACUACGUGCCAGCAGCCGCGGUAAUACGUAGGGUGCGAGCGUUAAUCGGAAUUACUGGGCGUAAAGGGUGCGCAGGCGGUUGAGUAAGACAGAUGUGAAAUCCCCGAGCUUAACUCGGGAAUGGCAUAUGUGACUGCUCGACUAGAGUGUGUCAGAGGGAGGUGGAAUUCCACGUGUAGCAGUGAAAUGCGUAGAUAUGUGGAAGAACACCGAUGGCGAAGGCAGCCUCCUGGGACAUAACUGACGCUCAGGCACGAAAGCGUGGGGAGCAAACAGGAUUAGAUACCCUGGUAGUCCACGCCCUAAACGAUGUUAACUAGUUGUUGGGAUGUAACAAUCUCAGUAACGCAGCCAACGCGAGAAGUUAACCGCCUGGGAAGUACGGUCGCAAGACUAAAACUCAAAGGAAUUGACGGGGACCCGCACAAGCGGUGGAUGAUGUGGAUUAAUUCGAUGCAACGCGAAAAACCUUACCUACCCUUGACAUGUCAGGAAGCUCUUGUAAUGAGAGCGUGCCCGCAAGGGAGCCUGAACACAGGUGCUGCAUGGCU